RNAcentral lists this small nuclear RNA (313 nucleotides) under Ochotona princeps (American pika). RNAcentral describes it as "7SK RNA (ENSOPRG00000020936.1)". It matches the Rfam family "7SK RNA". Rfam says of the family: 7SK was discovered as an abundant small nuclear RNA in the mid-70s but a possible function has only recently been suggested. Two independent studies have found that 7SK RNA binds the CDK9/cyclin T complex (known as elongation factor P-TEFb). Lineage: Eukaryota; Metazoa; Chordata; Mammalia; Lagomorpha; Ochotonidae. The record is from RNAcentral.
GGAUGUGAGGGCAGUCCGACUGCGACAUCUGUCACACCACUGGUCACCAGGGUUGAUUCGGCUGAUCUGGCUGGCUCAGCACGUGUCUUCUUCCUGCCUCAUCGCUCCAUGUGCAUUCAUCCUGAAGCUGCAUGUUAGCUCAAAGAGGAUGACCAACCCCACAACAGGAGGACCAGUCUUCAGUCAGGAAUACAUGAGUGCUCCCCUGCUAGAACCUCCAAACAAGCUCUCAAGAAAGUCUAAAGCUUCAAGAAUAAAAACCUUUAACCCAUUCCCUUCACAAUUCCCCAAUGUCAUAAGAAGAAUGAACUUG